RNAcentral lists this ribosomal RNA (866 nucleotides) under Cytobacillus firmus. RNAcentral describes it as "bacterial SSU rRNA". It matches the Rfam family "Bacterial small subunit ribosomal RNA", at positions 58 to 905 of the family's 1533-position model. The record is from RNAcentral. Lineage: Bacteria; Bacillati; Bacillota; Bacilli; Caryophanales; Bacillaceae.
UCAGUCGAGCGGAUCUUCAUUAGCUUGCUUUUGAAGAUCAGCGGCGGACGGGUGAGUAACACGUGGGCAACCUGCCUGUAAGACUGGGAUAACUUCGGGAAACCGGAGCUAAUACCGGAUAAUCCUUUCCCUCACAUGAGGGAAAGCUGAAAGACGGUUUCGGCUGUCACUUACAGAUGGGCCCGCGGCGCAUUAGCUAGUUGGUGAGGUAACGGCUCACCAAGGCAACGAUGCGUAGCCGACCUGAGAGGGUGAUCGGCCACACUGGGACUGAGACACGGCCCAGACUCCUACGGGAGGCAGCAGUAGGGAAUCUUCCGCAAUGGACGAAAGUCUGACGGAGCAACGCCGCGUGAGCGAUGAAGGCCUUCGGGUCGUAAAGCUCUGUUGUCAGGGAAGAACAAGUACCGGAGUAACUGCCGGUACCUUGACGGUACCUGACCAGAAAGCCACGGCUAACUACGUGCCAGCAGCCGCGGUAAUACGUAGGUGGCAAGCGUUGUCCGGAAUUAUUGGGCGUAAAGCGCGCGCAGGCGGUUCCUUAAGUCUGAUGUGAAAGCCCCCGGCUCAACCGGGGAGGGUCAUUGGAAACUGGGGAACUUGAGUGCAGAAGAGGAGAGCGGAAUUCCACGUGUAGCGGUGAAAUGCGUAGAGAUGUGGAGGAACACCAGUGGCGAAGGCGGCUCUCUGGUCUGUAACUGACGCUGAGGCGCGAAAGCGUGGGGAGCGAACAGGAUUAGAUACCCUGGUAGUCCACGCCGUAAACGAUGAGUGCUAAGUGUUAGAGGGUUUCCGCCCUUUAGUUGCUGCAGCAAACGCAUUAAGCACUCCGCCUGGGGAGUACGGCCGCAAGGCUGAAACUCAAG